This 492-nucleotide ribosomal RNA is filed under the name uncultured bacterium. Its description in RNAcentral is "partial 16S ribosomal RNA". It matches the Rfam family "Bacterial small subunit ribosomal RNA", at positions 29 to 507 of the family's 1533-position model. The record is from RNAcentral.
AGUGAACGCUGGCGGUAGGCCUAACACAUGCAAGUCGAACGGCAGCACAGUAAGAGCUUGCUCUUACGGGUGGCGAGUGGCGGACGGGUGAGGAAUACAUCGGAAUCUACUUUUUCGUGGGGGAUAACGUAGGGAAACUUACGCUAAUACCGCAUACGUCCUACGGGUGAAAGCAGGGGAUCUUCGGACCUUGCGCGACUGAAUGAGCCGAUGUCGGAUUAGCUAGUUGGCGGGGUAAAGGCCCACCAAGGCGACGAUCCGUAGCUGGUCUGAGAGGAUGAUCAGCCACACUGGAACUGAGACACGGUCCAGACUCCUACGGGAGGCAGCAGUGGGGAAUCUUGGACAAUGGGCGCAAGCCUGAUCCAGCCAUACCGCGUGGGUGAAGAAGGCCUUCGGGUUGUAAAGCCCUUUUGUUGGGAAAGAAAAGCAGCAGGUUAAUACCCCGCUGUUCUGACGGUACCCAAAGAAUAAGCACCGGCUAACUUCGUG